RNAcentral lists this long non-coding RNA (7118 nucleotides) under Malus domestica (apple). Its description in RNAcentral is "long non-coding RNA (MDOM_LNC004872)". The record is from RNAcentral. Lineage: Eukaryota; Viridiplantae; Streptophyta; Magnoliopsida; Rosales; Rosaceae.
UAGCAUAUUCCGUCAAAACUGACGGAAUAUUCCCUGUCUUCUCCGGCGAUUCGCCGGUCGCCGGCGACUGUUCGCCGGUUUCUGGAAAAAUUUCAAACUUGCUAUUCUCCUUCGUUUUUCAUCCAAAUUUUUCGUACCUUAUACCAAAUUGAAGCCCUAAACACCUACUAUCACGUUGGACUAGUUUUAGGGUCUAAAAACAACGAGAUCAUACCUUUCCAAUAAUUCCAAAAUCCGGCCAAACUCGAACCAAGUGAUCCCGACGUCCAUUUUGUUCAAACAAGGCACUCCGAGCCUCCUCGUGACCUCCUUAAGCUCACUAUGAGCUUGGUUUGGCCUAAAACACAACCAAUUCAAAGCUCAUGAACAGUACACAUUCACGGCAACUUUAGAAACUAGGGUUUUCGAAGUGAAACUUACCUUAAACUGGUACCUACGUGAUCGUGGAGUCCUCAGGAGUGCAAUGGUGGUUUUAAAUCCGGCGUUGGUAUUAGUUUUAGGUGGUUUUGAUGGUUGCCCGUGUGUUCGAGAGGGUGAGAGAGAGAGAGUGAGGUCUGAGGAAGAGAGAGAGAGUAUGAAGGACAGUAUACGGGAAAUGGGGAGGGAAAUAAGGAAUGGGGAUCCCACGUGGCCCCUUCUCAGUCCUUAACUAAAAUUAAUAAACCUAAUUCUAAGUUCUUAUCCCACAAGAUAUUUUAAUUAACCAAAAGUUAUGAACUUAGAUUAAAACCAACUUCACACUUACGCACCUUGUCACGUUUAAGGUUAUUUUCGUACUUUCACGUCCUCGGAAUUUAUAAUUCCGGGACGGGCUGUGACAAUCUCCCCUCCUUAUAGAAUUUCGUCCCCGAAAUUCCAGCCACCAACUAAAUUAACCAUACUCCAACAAUAGCUUCGGGUAAAUCUCUCUCAUCCGAUUCUCUUUCUCCCACAUAAUUUUCUACUGAAUGAUUUCCUUCACAAAGCUUUUACCACUUACUCUGUCUUACUUUUCAGGACCUUCUUUUUCAAAUCCAAAGUCGUCCUUGGUUCCUUAUCAAGUCGAAUCCAAUUUAAUUCUCAAUAGUUGCACCAGAAUCUAAUGUGACGAAUCUGCCACCUAGUGACAACGCAUCAAAUCAUAAAAUAUGUUUUGCACCUUAACCAAUUCUGAGGGCAUCACAAGCUUGUAUGCAACUUCAUCGAUUCCUUUAAUGAUCAAAAACCGUCUGAUGUGUUCAAGACUUAUCUUGUCUUCCUUUCUGAAUCUUACUAUUUCUGUUCAUGGUGAAAUUCCAAAAAUAUCAAACCAUUUACCUUACACACUCGAUUAGUGGCAUAUCCAUCUGUUGAUCUCUUUUGCCAUUCCUGGUUACUUCAGGUUAACUUAAUCACCUGAAUACUUUGAGGAGACUCAUCCAUAGUCUCAGGGCCUACUAAAACUCUUUCGUGAUCGAAUCUUUCUCUACCCAGAAACAUUCCAUUCACAAGUCAACAAAAACCGACUCACAUGACACACUUCAUGGUCCUUAUGGCGUUACUUCGGAAACUGCACAACCAACAUACUUAAGAAACUCAGCAGUUCCGUAAACCAAUUCUUCUUUCCAUAAAACAAAUAAGUAUCGUUGCCCUGUCUGGGAAAAAGUUAUUACCCAGCACUGGAGUAAUUGUACUAAUUUGGUACAUUGACCAACUAUCACUUCAAAUUCGAUCAUAACCAUCCUAUGUACAAGGAAACUUGUACACAUAAUCCAAAGUAAUAUCUUUCCAUUUCCACUGCGAAACAGAAAAUAGUUAUCUCAAUCCAAAGGUUUAUCUCUUCUGCCUCAAUCUGCUGAUCAAAUAAAACUGUUGAGUGGUAUGAUAAAUCUUAUUACUUUUGGAAUAUUGCAGAAGUUGAACAGUGAACUUCGUCCAAUAUUUGCUUGCUUCAAAUCCUCAGCAUUAGGCACAUACUUUUUGUUUUCUUGUAUCCACAUACCAUUUGAUUCACGAAUCAUGUACUCAUUCUUUUUCCCUUUUUUCUCUGCCUUGGUUAAUUCUUAAAUUUCCUCAUCAAACAUUUAAGUUUCGAGUACGACCUUACCAAACAGGCCUAACUUGAAAUUUAACAAGUAUAACUUCUUCUCGAUCUUCCAUUCUUAAUUUUUCUUCCGUUGGUUUUCAAUCCACAAGAAGAUAAUCUUGGCAAGCGUACCAAGCAUUAAUUCUUACUGGAGUCUUCUCAUCAAGUGCUUCAGCUAUAACAAUUCACGAUCACCCUGAUCGUACAAUCAUAAUCACUAAGUAAUUCAAUCCACCUUUGUUGCCUCAUAUCAAAAUCCUUCCGAGUAAACAAAUAUUGGAGACUCUUUUGAUUUGUAAAAUCUUGCAUUCUCACUAAAAUAUAAUGUCUCCAUAACUUCACAGCAAGGAUGGUAAUCGUAAUUUCCAAAUCAUAAGUAGGGUAAUUCAUCUCAUGAGGUUCCAUUUGUCGUGAAACAUAUACAAUCACCCUAACAUUUGCAUCAACAUGCCUCCAAUACCAUUCAAGAAACAUCACUAAAAAUUUAUGAUUACCACUAUCUUCUAGGAAUACUAAAAUACGUGUAUGAGUGAGGAAAUACUUCAGUUGUUGAAUCCUUUGCUCACAAUUUUCUUCCCACUCAUACAUAACUCUUUUUCUCAACAGUCUCGUCAAUGACAAAGCAAUGACUGAAAAAUCUUUCACAACCAUCCAAAAUAGCCUGGUAAGCUAAGAAAUUCCGAAUCUCAAUUACAGCUCGUGGUUGUUCCAAUUCCUCAAUUUGCUACCUUUUAAGAAUUCAUUUGAAUACCUUAAGAAUAUAUAACAAUUCUCAGAAUGCCACCUGAUUCAUCUAACUUUAGCAUUUGCUAAACUUAGCAUACAACCAACGUUCCCUCAAACUUUGUAACAUCAACUUAAAAAUAUCUAACAUGCUCUGCUCUAGGCUUAGAGUAUACCAGAAUAUCGUCAAUGAAAAUGAUAUCAAUUUAUCAAGGCAUUCCUGGAAUACUUCAUCCAUCAACUCAUAAAGCAGCAUGAGUAUCCAUAUAGCAUCACCAAACUUCAUAAAGACUAUAACGAGUCCAGAAAACCAUCUUAUGAUCAACGUCACUUAUAAUAUUCAAUUGGUAGUAACCAGAUCUCAAUUCAAUCUUUGAAUCUUCGCAAUUACUUCUGAGCUGGUUAAAUAAACAUCAGUACAUCACCAUGGAUAACGGUUCUCAAUCGUUACCCGACUCCAUUGUCUAUAAUCAAUGGAUAGCCUUAAAAAUCCAUUUUCUUCCUCACCAACGAACUGGGGUUCCCCCAAAGCGUUGUACUAGGUUGAAUAAAACUUUUAUCAACCAAUGCUUUCAACUGAAUUUCCAAUUCCCUUAACUCAUCCUGAACCAAUCUCCAAUAUAAAUUUAUACCUGGUAACAAAUCAAUAAUGAACCUCAUAUAUCUGCCUGAAGACAAUCCAGGUAUACUUUCAGGGAAGACAUCAAGAAAAGUCUAACUCUUUCGACAUUAUUCACACUACUCCGAGCAACAUCAUUUAGCAUCACAUGAGAUAAGUAUUUUUGGGCAGCCUUUCAAAACAAUCUCUUUGCUUUCACAGCAUAAAUAAUGGUUGAACUCACUUCACUUUGCAUGCCCACUCAUUAAGGUAACCUCUGAUCAUCCAGAUCGAUGGAAAGUGACUGGUUUCCCGUAACAAUCCAUCUAGUCACAAUUAUAACCAACCAAUCUAGUGGAAAUAAUUUAACCGACACAAUACAUACUUUAUUAUUACUGAACAUUCUAAAUAAGUACAACACUAACAUAAAAUAAUCUACCGGUUUGCUUGCUUAACGAAUCCACGAAUGAGUUAUUAAUAUUACGGUCUGCAGCCCGCAACACUGAUAAAUCAUCGUUAUCUCGAUAAGUAGGCAACCACUCUCAAAGAUAUAAUAAUACUAUUUUGUCACUCAAUGCAAAAUACAUACACUCGUCUCAACUACAUUUAUUUACUACUCUCUAGGUAAUAACAUACAUAAUAAGAAAUAUAUAUCAGCCGAAGUCAACUAGAAUGACCAAUCGGCUGAAAUCUUAUCUCAAUAAUACGUCGGCUGGAUCCACUCCGCGUGGUCGGUACGGCCGAGCCUAUAACUCACCAAUUUCUCUCAUGCGUCAGCCAGAUCCACCUCUCGUGGCCUGUAUGGCUGAACAUAUAACUAAUCAAAUCUCUCUGUACCCACGGUCAAUCCGACCAAACUACUAAGUCCAUAAACCUGCUGAAUCGAUACUACGAUGUCAUAGAAAACUGUUGGGUACAACUGAUUCUAGGGACGAUUCACAAUUCUGUGUCCCCUCUGUUCACAUAAACACAUUCAUUAAUUUCACACUUCCCAAAGUGUUAAUUUUUGUACCUGCUGCACAAGGUACAUUUCCUUUACUCGAGACACCUUGUCUCAAAUAUCUGGGAUUACCAGUAUAUCCAUCACUUUUACUCUGACCAGCGACAUUAAAACCUCAGCUGGAAGAAUUAACUCUAGCUUCACUUCUUUCGAAGCUCAGAAUCUUUCUAUAUCCUUGAUAUGACGAAUCAUUAACUUUAUUGUCUUCUUUUAAUUCCCAUUCUUUUCUUAUUCCUCUUCACUCUAGCUGAUCAUAUUCUCAGAGUCCUCAAGACUCAACAACAUCUCGUAUAUUCCUGGUAAGAAGUACAAUGGAUAGUGGUCACCCAAAAUACCACUUCCCUUUUUUGCCACCCAGCUUAAAACAACAUAACACCUCCACCAAAUUAACAACAAUAUCUGGAUGGAACGAGGCAAGUCUGAAAACUUUCUAUAAUAUCCCUCGAUUAUCACCUUCCUUGUCUCAUAUUUGUAAACUCUUGUUUACUACCAUCGAUAAAUGCCGGAGGGAUAAACUUUUCCUUAAACAAGUCCUUAAACAAUUCUCAAUCGACUGAUUCCUCAGGUGACAACCAUUAACAAUCCUGUUUCCACCAGGAUACAAAUUCAUACCCAAACCAGGUAGUCGUCUCGACCCCCUGUCAGAAGGAAGAUUCCUUUGACUUGCAUAAUCUGAAACAUCUUUUCCAAAUGGUUAAACCGUUACUUCGCUCCCUCAGGUUCAUCAUUUCAUAAGGUGAUUCAAAUUCGACUCAUAACCCGUCUUAAAAUGUCCAUUUUGAUAAUAUACUGAAUCACCAUAAUAAUAGUUUCCCCUAAACCGCUAAAUCAGGGAGACUAAGUUCCUCUAACUACGUGGUUUGCUACGAGGCGGUGUAGUUCUGACAGAAUUCACUAGAAACUUUUCAAGAUGUCCAAGAUUGCAACCAUGCUCUGAUACCAACUGACACACCCCGUCCCGAAGGAGGGCAUGCUGGCCGUCACGUGAGAGUGACGUAACCAUUUACACAGUACGGAAGCUUUAAAUAUACCAUUUCUAAGAUGAAACACCCAAAGGUGAGACCUAAUUUAAUUUGUCCAUUCUGUCAGAACAACACCGUUGAAUUCCUCGUGGCCACCAAAACUCUGCUAUCAAGAACCUGGAGGGGCGAAAAAACAAAAUUGAGUGGGUCAGUAAAACCAAGCUUUUCAAAAACAUUUCGCCAAAAAUAAUUCUAACCCCUCACUGUAAAACCUGUAUACUCUUCCCAGAAAUGUAAAAUAUCAAUAUGUAAAUAUAUUUCUCAAGACUUCAAUUAACUAUCUCAACAUUAUUCAUUACAAAUAUGCCAUGCCAUGUCUAAAAUCAACGGAAUAGUAUGAAUGCAUCAACAUAAAUCAGGUGGAAGAAAAUAAUCAACCGGAGGCCCUACAAUGGCCCUGUACGGCUGAAUCUAAAAGCUCAAUAUCUCAUUCAGCCGGAGUCACCAACUGUGACCUGUACGGCUCUACACUGCACAUAAGUCGGAACCACCUAAUGUAGUCUGUACGACUUAAUGGUUAAUAUUACGCUCUAGUGCUUUUCUCAUCAAUCAUCUGUGCACAUAAUCUAAGGUCACCCACCCACCAGUCGAACCUCUCUAAAGGUCUGUACGACUGGCCUGUCGGAACCAUCUCCUGUGGUCUGUACGACAGCAUCUACUUGGAUCCAAGGCGAGCGUGCGCGAUGCGGUGAAAUACUAUAAGCACUAAUACCAUGGUGCAGGUUAUGAACUCAAUAUAUCUCAACAUCAUCAUAACAGUAAUAAUACUCACCUGAUACUCACCUGUGCGCGUCCACCGCACCAUUUCACAUAUAUGCAUCAUAUAUCAUUUCAUGCAUGACAUUUCGAUUCACAUUUCUAUAUACUUUUCACAUACUUCUAUGCAUGGCAUUUCAACUAAUAUAUCUCAUGUACUUUUAUACAUUUUCAUUUAAAGCAUAAUUUCAUGCAUUUUCAAUUUCUGGGAAAACGGCAAGUAUAUAUGCUAACAGAAAACAAAACUGCCCACUCACAGAAUACAUCGACGUGUCGAAGGUCCCUGAGCCUCCCUUAGCCAUGCCCAACGUCCGUAUAAUCCUCGCCUAUACGAGAAGUAACCAAAUUGACGUUAUUUAACGCAUAAUCCCACUCUUAGUUAAUAACUCCUCAUAUAUUGCUCAAAUUGGGUAUAUGAAUAUACCACAGUGACCUACACAACCUCAGGAUCAUCCCCAUAUUUUUAAAAUAAUUUUUGGAGGUCUCACGCGCCCCCACGCGCCUGACGUGGCACGGACCUACGCGCCCCCCACGCGCGGCCACGUGCCGUGCACACUGACGGCACAGUAACGGCAGUUAGGGAAUAUUCCGUUAAAUCCUAGCAUAUUCCGUUAAAUAAUUAACGGCGUCAAUCACGUCGUUAGCAUAUUCCGUCAAAACUGACGGAAUAUUCCCUGUCUUCUCCGGCGAUUCGCCGGUCGCCGGCGACUGUUCGCCGGUUUCUGGAAAAAUUUCAAACUUGCUAUUCUCCUUCGUUUUUCAUCCAAAUUUUUCGUACCUUAUACCAAAUUGAAGCCCUAAACACCUACUAUCACGUUGGACUAGUUUUAGGGUCUAAAAACAACGAGAUCAUACCUUUCCAAUAAUUCCAAAAUCCGGCCAAACUCGAACCAAGUGAUCCCGACGUCCAUUUUGUUCAAACAAGGCACUCCGAGCCUCCUCGUGACCUCCUUAAGCUCACUAUGAGCUUGGUUU